CCCACAGCGUUGAUCUCCCGUGGCGUUGCUCUCCCACGGCGUUGAUCUCCCGUGGCGUUGCUCUCCCACAGCGUUGAUCUCCCGCAGCGUUGCUCUCCCGUAGCGUCGCUCUCCCGCGGCGUUGAUCUCCCGUGGCGUUGAUCUCUCGUAGCGUUGAUCUCCCGUGGCGUUGCUCUACCGUAGCGUUGCUCUCCCGUGGCGUUGGUCUCCCGUAGUGUUGCUCUCCCGUGGCGUUGCUCUCCUGUAGCGUUGAUCUCCCGUGGCGUUGCUCUACCGUAGCGUUGCUCUCCCGUGGCGUUGGUCUCCCGUAGUGUUGCUCUCCCGUGGCGUUGCUCUCCCGUGGCGUUGAUCUCCCGUGGCGUUGCUCUCCCGUGGCGUUGCUCUCCCGUAGCGUUGAUCUCCCGUAGCGUUGCUCUCCCGUGGCGUCGCUCUCCCAUAGCGUUGCUCUCCCGUGGCGUUGAUCUCCCGUAGCGUUGAUCUCCCGUAGCGUUGAUCUCCCGUGGCGUCACUCUCCCGUGGCGUCGCUCUCCCACAGCGUUAAUCUCCCACGGCGUUGAUCUCCCGUGGCGUUGAUCUCCCGUGGCGUUGCUCUCCCGUGGCGUUGCUCUCCCGUAGCGUUGAUCUCCCACAGCGUUAAUCUCCCACGGCGUUGAUCUCCCGUGGCGUUGAUCUCCUACAGCGUUGCUCUCCCGUAGCGUUGAUCUCCUACAGCGUUGCUCUCCCACGGCGUUGCUCUCCCGUGGCGUUGAUCUCCGUGGCCGUUGCUCUCCCGUGGCGUUGCUCUCCCGUGGCGUUGCUCUCCCGUAGCGUUGAUCUCCCACAGCGUCGCUCUCCCACAGCGUUGAUCUCAUAUAGUGUUGAUGUCCCGUAUCGCCCUGCAGCCCAAGUGAAAGGUGCAGGUCCUGCGCCGCGAUCAGAUUUAAGAAGUUUUCCGUGACAACCAGGCCACACUGCAUCGGUUCCUUCCUUCCGAUGUAGAAUUUAAAAACAGGAGCCUAUCUAUCUAUCUAUAUCUA
RNAcentral lists this long non-coding RNA (1016 nucleotides) under Salmo salar (Atlantic salmon). RNAcentral's name for it is "lncRNA (ENSSSAG00000111338.1)". The record is from RNAcentral. Lineage: Eukaryota; Metazoa; Chordata; Actinopteri; Salmoniformes; Salmonidae.